GGGCCCGCACAAGCGGUGGAGCAUGUGGUUUAAUUCGAUGCAACGCGAAGAACCUUACCUACCCUUGACAUCCUCGGAAUCUGCCGGAGACGGCGGAGUGCCUUCGGGAACCGAGUGACAGGUGCUGCAUGGCUGUCGUCAGCUCGUGUUGUGAAAUGUUGGGUUAAGUCCCGUAACGAGCGCAACCCCUGUCCCUAUUUGCCAGCGAUUCGGUCGGGAACUCUAGGGAGACUGCCGGUGACAAACCGGAGGAAGGUGUGGAUGACGUCAAGUCAUCAUGCCCCUUACAUCCUGGGCUACACACGUACUACAAUGCUACGGACAAAGGGCUGCAAGUUCGCGAGGACAAGCAAAUCCCAUAAACCGUGGCUCAGUUCAGAUCGUAGGCUGCAACUCGCCUACGUGAAGGCGGAAUCGCUAGUAAUCG
This 427-nucleotide ribosomal RNA is filed under the name uncultured bacterium. Its description in RNAcentral is "bacterial SSU rRNA". It matches the Rfam family "Bacterial small subunit ribosomal RNA", at positions 917 to 1344 of the family's 1533-position model. The record is from RNAcentral.